Molecule: long non-coding RNA, 4609 nt
Organism: Chiroxiphia lanceolata (lance-tailed manakin)
Lineage: Eukaryota; Metazoa; Chordata; Aves; Passeriformes; Pipridae
Exons: 5
Source: RefSeq, a predicted model, not a curated record
GCAAAGUAUAAAGGCUUCCAACAUAACUUCUCAUAAAAUAUGGGCAAAGUUAAAUUACUUCCAGCCAAGUUAACACUUGCAAUUAAAGCAUGAGAUGUAUUCAUUUUAAGUACCAUAUGAAGUCUGAAUUCCAGAGCUCUAAAAUCUGCAACUGCUGGUCAAGGGGCAAUGUUAUUUUUAUCUCCAGUAAUAGCUUGCUGGGAGAAGCAUCCUGUUGUGUAAGAUGACUAACAAGGUCAUCUGCUUCACAAACAUUACUCAAGAUGAUGCACAGGGAAAUGGCAGCAGAGAAGUGAAGUGCUUUCCCAGGUCCCAGAGCAAUGGAGUUGAGAAAGCAUCCUUCAUCCCAGAGCACAGACUGACCACAGACUGUUACCUCUAGGGAAAAAGUAUGCAACUUCAGUUCCUCUUCCUGAAUUUUGCCCAGUCCCUGGAGACUGGAUCAUGGAAAGGUUAAUCCACAUCUGCCAUUACACCAGCCAGGAUUUUUAUUUUAGCGUAUUACUGCAUUGGUAACUUAAUUGACAUAGAAAUCAACAAGUGUUUACACUUGAGCACCGUUUGGGCCUGAUGCUUUUGUUGUACUUCUCAGCAUUUUUUCCCUUAAACCAAAUGCACCAUCUGCUCAUUGCUCUGUACAUAUGUUAUGCAUCUAAACAUUUUUGAAAGGAGGAAGUAAAUUGCAUGGCCUGCCAGUGGUAUUUUUUUGUGUGUGGCUGCAAAUAAACUAAGACCAUACAUUACAAUUUUUGUUGCUAAAAGUCAGAACUACAGUUUGGACCCUUUAUGGGUCUGCUGUUGCUGUGUGUUUAGAGCACAGUGGGAUAUGUAAAACCCAGCUUUCUACAAGUCAGUCAAAUUCCUUGUGUUGCCAAGAAGUACAUAAAGUUCUUAUUGACCAAAUUAAACAGAUUUUGCACAGUUUUAAAGCAAGAACUGUGAGCAAUAUUGAAGAACUAAGCUUAGGAAAAACAGGAGAGUAAAAUUCAAUUGUCACUCUAAUGGACCUUUCCCAUUUAGUUCUGGAGUUUUAAGAUGGGAAUUGACAAAGCACUAAAGGUACUUUUCUGUUAAUAGCAAAUCAACUUCCAAAUGGUGCAUAACAUAAGUGCCAUUAUAAAAUGCUGUUAUCUUGGUUUUAUUCCUUUAUGGCUAAGCCACAACAAUGGUAUUUUCACAUUGAAAACUCCUGUGCACUCUGUCAUAAUAUCUGUCAGUAACUUAAGGUUUUUAACAGAUUUGAGGGGUAGGAGAGGAUACCAGAUGACGUUUUUAUUGUGAUUACGCAGUAAUGCAACACAGACUCUCUGCAGCACCACCAAAUGGAGAACACACCACCACAGACACAGGAGCCAAUCAGGCAGCCUUAACACCAGUGCAAGCUGCUAGGAACGGAGACCAGAAAGCACCACUUCCUAUACAGAGUAGCAGCCACAGGCCUGAAACACUUGGGAUGAACACUACCAAUGACCCCACAACACUGCCACAGGGUGCAGAGAAAGGGCCAGAACAGCCACUCCAGGCAGCUGGAACAUCCUCUAACACCAGGACACUACAGCCUUGGCAGAAAUGAUUCUUGUGAAUUUUUCUGCCAGUAUGACAAGUAAUGGUGAAAGCAGCAGAGAGGACACUGAAGGAGAACGAGGAUGCUUCUGACUUUGCUUCUUUAAGAUAAUAUAGUGAGUGCAGGCAAUUUCCCAUGGUGAUCCACCUAGGCAGCAACAAAACUGAUAAAACUGGAACUGUGGAUCCCUACUCUAGCAGACUGAGCACAGUGCUACCCUGUCUUGAAGCUACGUUUCAAUGUCCCUUCAAGGAAGCUGGUCCGUCUCCUCUCCAGAGUAUGACUGGUAGUGCCACUGCUCUUUGUUGAGUGCAGUAUUUUGGAUUUCAGUCUGUUAACUGGGUAGAUUCCAUCAAGGGUCCAACUUAUUUUGGAAUAAUCUCCAUGAAGAUACUGAAGCCGCAGAGCUGCUAGGCGCUGCAGAGUGUCCUCUGGUGCUGGAAAAUGACCAUCUAUGAGGCUUUCAUGAGCCUACAAACAAACAGAAAGUCCCCCAGACUCAUCAGAAAGCAGAAGCACACUUUAUUCGCAGCUGGGUCCAUGUACAGAUUCCUAUGGCAUCUGCCGAUCCCAGUAGGAAAGACACAAUUCAGGUGGUUACAGCAGACAUUGCAAUAAAUAAGUCAAAGUCUGCAAUUGGUCAAUGUGGGGGGAACACCCCUUUCUGUAAACCUGGACAGGACAAAGAUCUCUGAGGGGCUCCUACCCUGCACAGGAAGUCCUACAAUGAGGACCAUUUAUGUCUGGAACAGAUGAGAGAUAUUGGAAUUGAGGCAAUUUGGUUUUGUGCUGUACCAGCUCCUGCGUGGAGAUAUAUUCAACACCAGAGUCAGAUGUAAUAAAUUCAAGAUUCUCAACCUCAGUUUCAUUACACAAAAGCAGUUCGCACCUCCUCCUCUUUCACUCAACAUCUCUCCCAAUCUUCUUGCUUCCCUUUGUCUGUUUUUCUGUUAAAUCUAUUUAUGGGGGGGGGGUUGCUACAUCCAUUUAAUGCCUGGAUAACACCUACUCUCCUACUGUUACUUCUUGCCAGUUGAUGCUGUGUAGACUGAAAGCCCUGUCAACAGGGAGUUUGGUACAACUGAGUUUCCACAGAGCACCAUGAUGUCUUGUUCCCAACCGUUCUCUAGACAUUCUUUAAUUGACAAUACUUGACAAUACUUGACGUUCAUUUCAUCUGUGUGAUGAAUAUGCCACCCAUUUGACUAUCAGUGAGUUUCAGUCUUCAUGACUCUGACUGCCUUUGAUAACAUCUUUAAUAAUUUUCACCAGCUAUGAUUUUCUGAGGUAAGGUCGGUGUUCAUUAGUGAAGUCAUACAGAUGGGACAAAUCACACAGCUGGGUGAUGCAGUCAGUUUAGUUCUACAUCCCUAACUGGCUCUUUCAUACCAGUGUGAUCUCUGAUCUAAGCAUCAUCAUUGUGCUACGGAGUACAGUGACUUAAAAAAACAAGACUACUUGUCAGAUAAACAUUGUCAACUACAUUCUUUUUUCCUUUGUCUGUAGUACUCUUCUAGAGCCUCUCUGUAAUCAAAAGAAAUCGCCCAAAAGAUAGGUUUCAUAGUUAAUUCUGGUAACACCCCAAGGAUGUGCUGAUCUGCAGACUUUCCAGUUUUCUUUACAUUUAUGUUCUGCGAGCAGCUACUUUCAAUGAUUCAUCUUGAAUCAUUAUCCAAAUUUCUAUGUCUUUUAAAAGUAAAGUUUAAAAACAUUUUAUUAUCGUUGGUCUUACAUUUUUUUUUUAAGCCUUUGCUAAUUUUCUUGCUUUUAUUCUAAUACUCCUCUUACCUAGAAAACUUCACAGUGUACCUGCUUUGUAGAUUCCAGGCAAAAAUACAAAACACUAAUUCUUCUGUUCCAACCAGCAUUCCCUCUUCUAAUGAAAGGUAAGCCAAUUUUCUGUAUACUCAUGUGCUUCUGCCACCCUGGAAACCAGGUAACUCUCACAAAGUGAGCUUACCUGCUCAAACAUGAAGGCAAAUUCCACCCCAUCUUUGGGAACAUUCUCAAUAUCCAAGAAGCAAUAAAGCUUAAAAUACAGUUGCCACUGUCCCUCCUCUUCUUCUUCAGAGCCAGCAAGUCUGUAAGAUAUGAAAGAGAAUGAGAAGGGAAAAAACCAGUAAGGAAAAGAACCACAGUACUGGGAUGUCCACAGUGCAACUCACAAUCUGAAGGUAACCCUGGAUUCUGAAAUCCAGUGUUACAUCCAACUAGGAAUUAAAGGUUUUAUGAAACAUUCUUUUACCUCUCAAACUUGGCCAAGAUAUCAGCCACAAUCACCCGACUCUCCACAGCACGGUCAACCUGCUGAUUAUGUUCAAAGAGCGCAAACAUAUUCCGGCUGUCCUCCAUUGCUAAACCUCGGAUCAGCUUUUCAACCACCUGCAAAAUCAGAGACACACAGAUCACACAACAGGUAUUACACAGACUUUCACACUGAAAAAUCAGUACUUCUUCAGGACACUCAUAAUUUCAUACACUUCCAUCACAUUUCUCCCUUAGUUACCUCAUUUUCAGAAUAAUAAAUACUAACCCUAAAAGAUGAUUCCCUGUACUUAUAUUUGAUUAUCCUUGCUUUUCUUCUCUGAACCUUUUCAAUUUCCCCUUUUUAAAGAUCUACCCUUUUUAAGAUGGGGAAAUUAGAGCUCUGCACAAGAUAUAGGCACAUAAUGGAUUCAGAUGGCAUGACAUUCUCAGUUCCUCUAAUAACAAUUCCACUUUUUCCUCUGUUGAGCACUAAUGUUUUCGCAGACAUGACUACUGCAACUUGGAAUCUUGCUUCUGACCUGCUAGUGAUUAAGUUACUGCUAGAAUAUCCCUUUCAGAAGGAUUCCAUUAUGAACUGGAACUUCUACUUGUCCAGAAAACUGUUUAGCAAGUCUUCACAAUUAGUACCUUUCCAAUGGAUAAAACACCAGAAGUGUUUAGAUUUUGCAACACAAUUGUCAGGUGAUAUUCUACAACAUGGGCACUGGCCUUGUAGAAUAAGCUGAAAUUUCCCUACAGAUACAGCAAAAAAAUUAUAAUUAAAAAAAAAAACACCAA